GACGAACGCUGGCGGCGUGCUUAACACAUGCAAGUCGAACGGAAAGGCCCUGCGUUUGUGGGGUGCUCGAGUGGCGAACGGGUGAGUAACACGUGAGUAACCUGCCCUUGACUUUGGGGUAACUUCAGGAAACUGGGGCUAAUACCGGAUAGGAGCUCCUGCUGCAUGGUGGGGGUUGGAAAGUUUCGGCGGUUGGGGAUGGACUCGCGGCUUAUCAGCUUGUUGGUGGGGUAGUGGCUUACCAAGGCUUUGACGGGUAGCCGGCCUGAGAGGGUGACCGGCGACAUGGGGACUGAGGUACGGCGCAGACGGGAACGGGAGGCAGUAGUGGGGAGUAUUGCACAAUGGGCGGAAGCGUGAUGCAGAGACGCCGCGUGCGUGAUGACGGCCUUCGGGUUGUGAACCGCUUUCGCCUGUGACGAAGCGUGAGUGACGGUAAUGGAUAAAGAAGCACCGGCUAACUACGUG
Molecule: ribosomal RNA, 468 nt
Filed under: uncultured bacterium
Lineage: Bacteria
Description: partial 16S ribosomal RNA
Rfam family: Bacterial small subunit ribosomal RNA
Source: RNAcentral